RNAcentral lists this unclassified non-coding RNA (429 nucleotides) under Hevea brasiliensis (rubber tree). The record is from RNAcentral. Lineage: Eukaryota; Viridiplantae; Streptophyta; Magnoliopsida; Malpighiales; Euphorbiaceae.
GGAGAGAAAGAACAGGGCCAAGAAGAUUCGUGGAGUAAAGAAGGUAAGAUAUUAGAUUCAUUUGUAAUGGUUUCUUGAGGUUGGCCUUACCAGUUCUUAAAAUUUCCAAUGUUAUACAAGUCAUUGCUGAUCAUUGAUAUUUCUUAUGCAGACAAAGGCUAGUGAUGCUGCCAAGGGAGGAAAGAAGAAAUAAAUUUUCAAGGAUAUGCCCAUAUCCGCUAAUUGGAUUUUCUUUAAUAGUUCUCAAGCAUUUAGAUAAUUUUGAAUGGAAUCUUUUAUUGUCAUUGUGGAUGUUUAAUUUUUCAUUAUAUGAUUUUGAGCACACUUUGAAGAGGACAAAUUUUGACAAAUUUUGAAAUGUUGAGUAGUUGUACAUUUGCUGUUAUUUUCUUUCACCAACCUGUGUAGCAAUGGUUCUUUUGUUGUUUU